AUAUUAUGAUGGUUGCAUAGUUCAGCAGAUUGAUUCCUGAGGAGAUGUAGCAUUUGUCUGAUGUGUCU
Pteronotus mesoamericanus is the source of this 68-nucleotide small nucleolar RNA. RefSeq annotates it as small nucleolar RNA SNORD77. The transcript has a single exon. The record is from RefSeq and is a predicted model, not a curated record. NCBI's taxonomy places the organism in Eukaryota, Metazoa, Chordata, Mammalia, Chiroptera, Mormoopidae.